RNAcentral lists this ribosomal RNA (451 nucleotides) under uncultured bacterium. RNAcentral describes it as "bacterial SSU rRNA". It matches the Rfam family "Bacterial small subunit ribosomal RNA", at positions 10 to 507 of the family's 1533-position model. The record is from RNAcentral.
AGUUUGAUCCUGGCUCAGAACGAACGCUGGCGGCAGGCUUAAUACAUGCAAGUCGAACGCACUCUUCGGAGUGAGUGGCAGACGGGUGAGUAACGCGUGGGAACAUGCCCCUCGGUACGGAAUAGCCCCGGGAAACUGGGUGUAAUACCGUAUACGACCUCAGGGUGAAAGAUUUAUCGCCGAGGGAUUGGCCCGCGUUAGAUUAGCUUGUUGGUGGGGUAAUGGCCUACCAAGGCGACGAUCUAUAGCUGGUCUGAGAGGAUGGCCAGCCACACUGGGACUGAGACACGGCCCAGACUCCUACGGGAGGCAGCAGUAGGGAAUCUUGGACAAUGGGCGAAAGCCUGAUCCAGCCAUGCCGCGUGAGUGAAGAAGGCCUUAGGGUUGUAAGACUCUUUCGCCGGUGAAGAUAAUGACGGUAGCCGGAGAAGAAGCCCCGGCUAACUUCGUG